RNAcentral lists this ribosomal RNA (425 nucleotides) under uncultured bacterium. RNAcentral describes it as "bacterial SSU rRNA". It matches the Rfam family "Bacterial small subunit ribosomal RNA", at positions 356 to 773 of the family's 1533-position model. The record is from RNAcentral.
GGGGAAUUUUGGACAAUGGGCGAAAGCCUGAUCCAGCCAUGCCGCGUGCAGGAUGAAGGCCUUCGGGUUGUAAACUGCUUUUGUACGGAACGAAAAGACUCCUUCUAAUAAAGGGGGUCCAUGACGGUACCGUAAGAAUAAGCACCGGCUAACUACGUGCCAGCAGCCGCGGUAAUACGUAGGGUGCAAGCGUUAAUCGGAAUUACUGGGCGUAAAGCGUGCGCAGGCGGUUAUAUAAGACAGAUGUGAAAUCCCCGGGCUCAACCUGGGAACUGCAUUUGUGACUGUAUAGCUAGAGUACGGCAGAGGGGGAUGGAAUUCCGCGUGUAGCAGUGAAAUGCGUAGAUAUGCGGAGGAACACCGAUGGCGAAGGCAAUCCCCUGGGCCUGUACUGACGCUCAUGCACGAAAGCGUGGGGAGCAAAC